This 252-nucleotide ribosomal RNA is filed under the name uncultured bacterium. RNAcentral's name for it is "partial 16S ribosomal RNA". It matches the Rfam family "Bacterial small subunit ribosomal RNA", at positions 524 to 776 of the family's 1533-position model. The record is from RNAcentral.
UACGAAGGGGGCUAGCGUUGCUCGGAAUUACUGGGCGUAAAGGGAGCGUAGGCGGGUUAUCAAGUUGGGGUGAAAGCCCGGGGCUCAACCUCGGAAUUGCCUUCAAAACUGAUAACCUGGAGUAUGGAAGAGGUAAGUGGAACUCCGAGUGUAGAGGUGAAAUUCGUAGAUAUUCGGAAGAACACCAGUGGCGAAGGCGACUUACUGGUCCAUUACUGACGCUGAGGCUCGAAAGCGUGGGGAGCAAACAGG